GCACCGAUAGUCAAGUGGUUACGAUGCUACCCUCCCAUGCCCAUUUCAUAUGAGAUUAGGUAGCGGCCCGGGUUCGAAUCCCGGUCGGUGCA
This is a transfer RNA of Penicillium oxalicum 114-2, 92 nucleotides long. It matches the Rfam family "tRNA". From Rfam's summary of the family: Transfer RNA (tRNA) molecules are approximately 80 nucleotides in length. Their secondary structure includes four short double-helical elements and three loops (D, anti-codon, and T loops). The record is from Rfam. Lineage: Eukaryota; Fungi; Ascomycota; Eurotiomycetes; Eurotiales; Aspergillaceae.